CAUCAUCAUAAACUUGACCAACAUAAACAAAAUCUGGUUGUGUUUUAGUAGGUCAAUAGUAAUUCUUACCUUAGCCAUGCUAACUCUGGUCUUUCCUCUCGUUGUCAGGUCCAUUGCUAGUGAAGUCCCAUCAACACUGACCACCUGUUUAACAUACUGCCAUGUGUGCAUAUAAAAACGGUGUCCUGGUAGCAGUACCCAUACCGGUACCACCGAUAAGUCUUCUUCAGGCUUGAAGUCCGGUGACCACCUUUGUAGCCACAUUUGUUGUCCCUCAAUUUCAAUAACCUCUUCUGCCAGACAAAAUUAAAGUCGUAUUCAUUGGUGCAAUCCAAGAAAACACUGUAGUUAUCAUAAACCCCAAUCUUGACCGAGCCUUUAAUAGAAAUUAGUUAUUUGAAUUUUGACCUAAUUCCGUCAACUUAGGGCUUAGGUUUGAGGAAUAUUCCCACUAUUUUGAGCCUACACUGAGCCGCCAUGAUGCCAUAGUAAUCUGAUGCAUUGAGGAGGACCGUUAGCAUUCCAUUGUGC
RNAcentral lists this long non-coding RNA (531 nucleotides) under Nicotiana benthamiana. Its description in RNAcentral is "long non-coding RNA (NBEN_LNC026989)". The record is from RNAcentral. Lineage: Eukaryota; Viridiplantae; Streptophyta; Magnoliopsida; Solanales; Solanaceae.